This is a non-coding RNA of Saccharomyces cerevisiae Lalvin QA23, 105 nucleotides long. The record is from Rfam. NCBI's taxonomy places the organism in Eukaryota, Fungi, Ascomycota, Saccharomycetes, Saccharomycetales, Saccharomycetaceae.
CAAWAUAAUGAUAACGAGAAUAAUAUCAAGAAUACCUUAGAACAACAUCGACAACAACAACAGGCAUUUUCGGAUAUGAGUCACGUGGAGUAUUCCAGAAUUACA